CCAGACUCCUACGGGAGGCAGCAGUGAGGAAUAUUGGUCAAUGGGCGCGAGCCUGAACCAGCCAAGUCGCGUGAGGGAUGACGGCCCUACGGGUUGUAAACCUCUUUUGCCGGGGAGCAACGGGCGCCACGUGUGGCGCCACUGAGAGUACCCGGAGAAAAAGCAUCGGCUAACUCCGUGCCAGCAGCCGCGGUAAUACGGAGGAUGCGAGCGUUAUCCGGAUUUAUUGGGUUUAAAGGGUGCGUAGGCGGAUCGUUAAUGCAGGGGUCAAAUGGGGGGGCUCACCCCCUCCCCGCCAUUGAAACUGGCGUUCUUGAGUGGAAGAGAAGUAUGCGGAAUGCGUGGUGUAGCGGUGAAAUGCAUAGAUAUCACGCAGAACCCCGAUUGCGAAGGCAGCAUACCGGCGCGCAACUGACGCUCAUGCACGAAAGCGUGGGUAUCGAACAGGAUUAGAUACCCCCGUACG
This 466-nucleotide ribosomal RNA is filed under the name uncultured bacterium. RNAcentral's name for it is "bacterial SSU rRNA". It matches the Rfam family "Bacterial small subunit ribosomal RNA", at positions 331 to 793 of the family's 1533-position model. The record is from RNAcentral.